RNAcentral lists this unclassified non-coding RNA (330 nucleotides) under fungal sp. Its description in RNAcentral is "partial internal transcribed spacer region". Lineage: Eukaryota; Fungi. The record is from RNAcentral.
CUUGGUCGAACGGCUACGGCCCUUGGUGCAAAAAGGUGAGAUUCGCAUUGUUAUUACUUCACGCCGUAUUCCAGACUUUGUGCAGCUGACGGAAUGGGAUCCACUAGGAGGUCUGAGUCUGGGCGACACGCAGCGUUUGCUGGCCGAGCGCAGCAUCAAUCUUUCCCCAAGUAUGGUAGAGACGUUGCACAGCCGCACAGAGGGCAACGCUGAGCUACUGAUCCUGACGAUCCAUGCUCUGCAACACGCCAAAGACCCAGUGCGUCUGCUCGACCACCUCGUACAGACCAGCGAUAUUGAACGAUAUUUGCUCAACGAAGUGGACAAAGG